RNAcentral lists this long non-coding RNA (388 nucleotides) under Hordeum vulgare. RNAcentral describes it as "long non-coding RNA (HVUL_LNC019036)". Lineage: Eukaryota; Viridiplantae; Streptophyta; Magnoliopsida; Poales; Poaceae. The record is from RNAcentral.
GGGCGCUCCAUGCCGAAACACAAACAUGAACCGUAAGGAGACCAGUGACUAGCUGGUCGCCCUCAACAAGGCCGAGGCCAAGUUCAUCAACUGACAGGCCGAGGCUGAGAAGACCUGGCGGGAGGUCGAUGAAUACAUCGCCAACCAGGAUGCCAAACUGAAGGCGUGCAAGAUCUCCCUCAACUGCCACUAAGAAUAGCUUGCAGCCCGCGAGAAAGAUCUUGCUGAUAAUCUUGGGGUCAGAUGGGCAAGAAGGUUCAUGUCUUGGAGAUGGAGCACAAAGCUGCAUUCGAGAGCAGGCGAUUGAGUGCACCGGCAAGCUCUAAAAGUUCGUGAAUGCUGCUGAGGCCAGCCAAGGCCGUGUUGGAGGGAAAGUUGUAGCUGCUGG